RNAcentral lists this transfer RNA (85 nucleotides) under Candidatus Kaiserbacteria bacterium RIFOXYD1_FULL_42_15. RNAcentral's name for it is "tRNA-Leu". It matches the Rfam family "tRNA". From Rfam's summary of the family: Transfer RNA (tRNA) molecules are approximately 80 nucleotides in length. Their secondary structure includes four short double-helical elements and three loops (D, anti-codon, and T loops). Further hydrogen bonds mediate the characteristic L-shaped molecular structure. tRNAs have two regions of fundamental functional importance: the anti-codon, which is responsible for specific mRNA codon recognition, and the 3' end, to which the tRNAs corresponding amino acid is attached (by aminoacyl-tRNA synthetases). tRNAs cope with the degeneracy of the genetic code in two manners: having more than one tRNA (with a specific anti-codon) for a particular amino acid; and 'wobble' base-pairing, i.e. permitting non-standard base-pairing at the 3rd anti-codon position. Lineage: Bacteria; Candidatus Kaiseribacteriota. The record is from RNAcentral.
GCCUCGGUGGCGGAAUUGGUAUACGCGCACGACUCAAAAUCGUGUGUCGCAAGGCGUGAGGGUUCGACUCCCUCCCGAGGCACAA